AGUGAACGCUGGCGGUAGGCCUAACACAUGCAAGUCGAACGGCAGCACAGGAGAGCUUGCUCUCUGGGUGGCGAGUGGCGGACGGGUGAGGAAUACAUCGGAAUCUACUUUUUCGUGGGGGAUAACGUAGGGAAACUUACGCUAAUACCGCAUACGACCUACGGGUGAAAGCAGGGGACCUUCGGGCCUUGCGCGAUUGAAUGAGCCGAUGUCGGAUUAGCUAGUUGGCGGGGUAAAGGCCCACCAAGGCGACGAUCCGUAGCUGGUCUGGUAGGAUGAUCAGCCACACUGGAACUGAGACACGUGCCAGACUCCUACGGGAGGCAGCGGUGGGGCAUAUUGGACAAUGGGCGCAAGCCUGAUCCAGCCAUACCGCGUGGGUGAAGAAGGCCUUCGGGUUGUAAAGCCCUUUUGUUGGGAAAGAAAUCCGGCUGGCUAAUACCCUGGGGUCAUGACGGUACCGUAAGAAUAAGCACCGGCUAACUACGUGCCAGCCGCCGCAGUAA
Molecule: ribosomal RNA, 506 nt
Filed under: uncultured bacterium
Lineage: Bacteria
Description: partial 16S ribosomal RNA
Rfam family: Bacterial small subunit ribosomal RNA
Source: RNAcentral